Molecule: ribosomal RNA, 468 nt
Filed under: uncultured bacterium
Lineage: Bacteria
Description: partial 16S ribosomal RNA
Rfam family: Bacterial small subunit ribosomal RNA
Source: RNAcentral
GACGAACGCUGGCGGCGUGCUUAACACAUGCAAGUCGAACGGAAAGGCCCUGCUUUUGUUGGUUGCUCGAGUGGCGAACGGGUGAGUAACACGUGAGUAACCUCCCCUUGACUUUGGGAUAACUUCAGGAAACUGGGGCUAAUACCGGAUAGGAGCUCCUGCUGCAUGGUGGUGGUUGGAAAGUUUCGGCGGUUGGGGAUGGACUCGCGGCUUAUCAGCUUGUUUGUGGGGUAGUGGCUUACCAAGGCUUUGACGGGUAGCCGGCCUGAGAGGGUGACCGGCCACAUUGGGACUGAGAUACGGACCAGACUGCUACGGGAGGCAGCAGUGGGGAAUAUUGCACAAUGGGCGGAAGCCUGAUGCAGCAACGCCGCGUGCGGGAUGACGGCCUUCGGGUUGUAAACCGCUUUCGCCUGUGACGAAGCGUGAGUGACGGUAAUGGGUAAAGAAGCACCGGCUAACUACGUG